RNAcentral lists this ribosomal RNA (433 nucleotides) under uncultured bacterium. RNAcentral describes it as "partial 16S ribosomal RNA". It matches the Rfam family "Bacterial small subunit ribosomal RNA", at positions 29 to 507 of the family's 1533-position model. The record is from RNAcentral.
AACGAACGCUGGCGGCAUGCCUAACACAUGCAAGUCGAACGAGACCUUCGGGUCUAGUGGCGCACGGGUGCGUAACGCGCGGGAACCUGCCCUUAGGUUCGGAAUAGCUCCCCGAAAGGGGUGCUAAUACCGGAUAAUGUCUUCGGACCAAAGAUUUAUCGCCUUUGGAUGGGCCCGCGUUGGAUUAGCUAGUUGGUAGGGUAAAAGCCUACCAAGGCGACGAUCCAUAGCUGGUCUGAGAGGAUGAUCAGCCACACUGGGACUGAGACACGGCCCAGACUCCUACGGGAAGCAGCAGUGGGGAAUAUUGGACAAUGGGCGAAAGCCUGAUCCAGCAAUGCCGCGUGAGUGAUGAAGGCCUUAGGGUUGCAAAGCUCUUUUACCCGGGAUGAUAAUGACAGUACCGGGAGAAUAAGCUCCGGCUAACUCCGUG